UUGAACGCUGGCGGCAUGCUUUACACAUGCAAGUCGAACGGUAACAGGCCGCAAGGUGCUGACGAGUGGCGAACGGGUGAGUAAUGCAUCGGAACGUGCCCAGUCGUUGGGGAUAACUACUCGAAAGAGUAGCUAAUACCGCAUACGAUCUAUGGAUGAAAGCGGGGGACCGUAAGGCCUCGCGCGAUUGGAGCGGCCGAUGUCAGAUUAGGUAGUUGGUGGGGUAAAGGCUCACCAAGCCAACGAUCUGUAGCUGGUCUGAGAGGACGACCAGCCACACUGGGACUGAGACACGGCCCAGACUCCUACGGGAGGCAGCAGUGGGGAAUUUUGGACAAUGGGCGCAAGCCUGAUCCAGCAAUGCCGCGUGCAGGAAGAAGGCCUUCGGGUUGUAAACUGCUUUUGUACGGAACGAAACGGCUCUGGUUAAUACCCGGGGCUAAUGACGGUACCGUAAGAAUAAGCACCGGCUAACUACGUG
RNAcentral lists this ribosomal RNA (481 nucleotides) under uncultured bacterium. Its description in RNAcentral is "partial 16S ribosomal RNA". It matches the Rfam family "Bacterial small subunit ribosomal RNA", at positions 30 to 507 of the family's 1533-position model. The record is from RNAcentral.